This 468-nucleotide ribosomal RNA is filed under the name uncultured bacterium. RNAcentral describes it as "partial 16S ribosomal RNA". It matches the Rfam family "Bacterial small subunit ribosomal RNA", at positions 28 to 507 of the family's 1533-position model. The record is from RNAcentral.
GACGAACGCUGGCGGCGUGCUUAACACAUGCAAGUCGAACGGAAAGGCCCUGCUUUUGUGGGGUGCUCGAGUGGCGAACGGGUGAGUAACACGUGAGUAACCUGCCCUUGACUUUGGGAUAACUUCAGGAAACUGGGGCUAAUACCGGAUAGGAGCUCCUGCUGCAUGGUGGGGGUUGGAAAGUUUCGGCGGUUGGGGAUGGACUCGCGGCUUAUCAGCUUGUUGGUGGGGUAGUGGCUUACCAAGGCUUUGGCGGGUAGCCGGCCUGAGAGGGUGACCGGCCACAUUGGGACUGAGAUACGGCCCAGACUCCUACGGGAGGCAGCGGUGGGGAAUAUUGCACAAUGGGCGGAAGCCUGAUGCAGCAACGCCGCGUGCGGGAUGACGGCCUUCGGGUUGUAAACCGCUUUCGCCUGUGACGAAGCGUGAGUGACGGUAAUGGGUAAAGAAGCACCGGCUAACUACGUG